Molecule: ribosomal RNA, 460 nt
Filed under: uncultured soil bacterium
Lineage: Bacteria
Description: bacterial SSU rRNA
Rfam family: Bacterial small subunit ribosomal RNA
Source: RNAcentral
AGGACGAACGCUGGCGGCGUGCCUAAUACAUGCAAGUCGAACGGGUCUCCUUCGGGAGGCUAGUGGCGGACGGGGGUGAGUAACACGUGGGUGAUCUGCCCUGUAGUGGGGAAUAACGCUGCGAAAGCAGUGCUAAUACCGCAUAUACUCCUCGGUUCAUACCGGGAAGCAAAGCUUUAUGCGCUACAGGAGGAGCCUGCGCCCGAUUAGCUAGUCGGUGGGGUAAUGGCCUACCGAGGCAACAAUCGGUAGCUGGUCUGAGAGGAUGACCAGCCACACUGGGACUGAGACACGGCCCAGACUCCUACGGGAGGCAGCAGUAAGGAAUAUCCACAAUGGGCGCAAGCCUGAUGGAGCAACGCCGCGUGCAUGAUGAACGCCCUUCGGGUGUAAAAUGUACGUUUUAGGAGGAUGAGACGGACAGUACCUCCUGAAUAAGCGUUCGGCUAACACGUGCCAG